AUAAAAACGAUAAGGGUGACCGCAAGGUCACCCAUUUUAUUUGUAUUGUUUAACAUUAUUUGGUUUGGCCGCCGACAAGUUGAACAAGCAACACUGGUGUUACGUAUAGCUGGCUGUUAUCAGGAUUCCUUACUAUCACGACUAACAGUUCUUGUAACCGACGCCCGAGCAUUCGCUCGGGCUUCUUCUU
Molecule: small RNA, 190 nt
Filed under: Vibrio maritimus
Lineage: Bacteria; Pseudomonadati; Pseudomonadota; Gammaproteobacteria; Vibrionales; Vibrionaceae
Description: Vibrio sp. R-40493 MicX Vibrio cholerae sRNA
Rfam family: MicX Vibrio cholerae sRNA
Source: Rfam by way of RNAcentral